This 448-nucleotide ribosomal RNA is filed under the name Streptomyces sp. RNAcentral describes it as "bacterial SSU rRNA". It matches the Rfam family "Bacterial small subunit ribosomal RNA", at positions 56 to 520 of the family's 1533-position model. Lineage: Bacteria; Bacillati; Actinomycetota; Actinomycetes; Kitasatosporales; Streptomycetaceae. The record is from RNAcentral.
UGCAAGUCGAACGAUGAACCACUUCGGUGGGGAUUAGUGGCGAACGGGUGAGUAACACGUGGGCAAUCUGCCCUGCACUCUGGGACAAGCCCUGGAAACGGGGUCUAAUACCGGAUACUGACCCGCCUGGGCAUCCAGGCGGAUCGAAAGCUCCGGCGGUGCAGGAUGAGCCCGCGGCCUAUCAGCUUGUUGGUGAGGUAACGGCUCACCAAGGCGACGACGGGUAGCCGGCCUGAGAGGGCGACCGGCCACACUGGGACUGAGACACGGCCCAGACUCCUACGGGAGGCAGCAGUGGGGAAUAUUGCACAAUGGGCGCAAGCCUGAUGCAGCGACGCCGCGUGAGGGAUGACGGCCUUCGGGUUGUAAACCUCUUUCAGCAGGGAAGAAGCGCAAGUGACGGUACCUGCAGAAGAAGCGCCGGCUAACUACGUGCCAGCAGCCGCGG